This 253-nucleotide ribosomal RNA is filed under the name uncultured bacterium. RNAcentral describes it as "partial 16S ribosomal RNA". It matches the Rfam family "Bacterial small subunit ribosomal RNA", at positions 524 to 776 of the family's 1533-position model. The record is from RNAcentral.
UACGAAGGGGGCUAGCGUUGCUCGGAAUCACUGGGCGUAAAGGGUGCGUAGGCGGGUCUUUAAGUCCGGGGUGAAAUCCUGGAGCUCAACUCCAGAACUGCCUUUGAUACUGAAGAUCUUGAGUGCGGGAGAGGUGAGUGGAACUGCGAGUGUAGAGGUGAAAUUCGUAGAUAUUCGCAAGAACACCAGUGGCGAAGGCGGCUCACUGGCCCGAUACUGACGCUGAGGCACGAAAGCGUGGGGAGCAAACAGG